AGGCGGUAAGGGUUGGUGGAGAAGUGGACAACGGUGGCUGGUGUUUGUGAUGAUGGAGGUUGUGGUUGUGAGGACGGCGGUGCGGUGUGAAGGGUGAGAGUGGUGGUUUCGUGUGGUGAUGGAAAUGGUGGUGGUCAGAAGGGUUUGUGGUAGAGGUUUUGUGUGGAGGAUGAGAUGGAGCGGUGAGUGGUGUAGAUGGAGAGUCGCGGCGGAGAGGAAAAGCU
This 224-nucleotide long non-coding RNA is filed under the name Lathyrus oleraceus (garden pea). RNAcentral's name for it is "Pisum sativum (pea) long non-coding RNA (PSAT_LNC031210)". Lineage: Eukaryota; Viridiplantae; Streptophyta; Magnoliopsida; Fabales; Fabaceae. The record is from RNAcentral.